Small nucleolar RNA from Lotus japonicus, 80 nucleotides. RefSeq annotates it as small nucleolar RNA U83. The transcript has a single exon. Lineage: Eukaryota; Viridiplantae; Streptophyta; Magnoliopsida; Fabales; Fabaceae. The record is from RefSeq and is a predicted model, not a curated record.
UGCCUAUGAUGAGAGAUUUGUGAUUUAUAUCAUGUAUGAACUUUCAUGAUUACAACCACUACUGCCUUCCUUCUGAGGCU